UACGUAGGGGGCAAGCGUUGUCCGGAUUUAUUGGGCGUAAAGAGCGUGUAGGCGGCUUGGUAGGUCCGCUGUGAAAACUCGAGGCUCAACCUCGAGAUGUCGGCGGAAACCACUUGGCUAGAGUCCGGAAGAGGAGAGUGGAAUUCCCGGUGUAGCGGUGAAAUGCGUAGAUAUCAGGAGGAACACCUGCGGUGUAGACGGCUUACUGGACCAUAACUGACGCUGAGGCACGAAAGCGUGGGUAGCAAACAGG
This 253-nucleotide ribosomal RNA is filed under the name uncultured bacterium. RNAcentral's name for it is "partial 16S ribosomal RNA". It matches the Rfam family "Bacterial small subunit ribosomal RNA", at positions 524 to 776 of the family's 1533-position model. The record is from RNAcentral.